This 445-nucleotide long non-coding RNA is filed under the name Elaeis guineensis (African oil palm). RNAcentral describes it as "long non-coding RNA (EGUI_LNC024630)". Lineage: Eukaryota; Viridiplantae; Streptophyta; Magnoliopsida; Arecales; Arecaceae. The record is from RNAcentral.
CUAUGGAUUUUGAGCAUCUCAAAUUUAGCAUUAAUGGAUUGAUGGUUAGGCUCAAAUCUGGAAUGUUUUGAUCUCCUUCAAGCUCUGAAACUGUUGCUCCAUCCAUUUUAAGAGGCUUGAGGUUUUUCUAAAAGAAAAGUCUAAUUGUUAAACAUGGAUGAUGCUAAGGGAAGAAAGAUGGCUACUGAUACUCAAGCCUUCUAUUAAAGAUAGAUUGGGCCAAUAAUUUUUUUUGAGUGAAAUAAAUCAAAAGCUACGAAUUUUAAAGGCAAGCAAUUGUGAUAUUUUAAUUUAAAAUUGGGAUGCUAAUGUUCUUUUAAAAGAGAAUUAAAUAAUUUGAUAUGUAUGGUAAAACGAAAGGAUCGCGUUUUGGGAUGUCAUAUUUUUUGUAUGUUGAGAUCUUGUGAAGCAAGUACUUUGAGAGGUAAAUAAUUUGAGAGCACAA